Molecule: unclassified non-coding RNA, 404 nt
Filed under: soil metagenome
Description: partial contains 5.8S ribosomal RNA, internal transcribed spacer 2, and large subunit ribosomal RNA
Rfam family: 5.8S ribosomal RNA (bases 1-122)
Source: RNAcentral
GAUGAAGAACGUAGCAAAAUGCGAUACUUGGUGUGAAUUGCAGAAUCCCGUGAACCAUCGAGUUUUUGAACGCAAGUUGCGCCCGAAGCCUUUUGGCCGAGGGCACGUCUGCCUGGGCGUCACGCAUCGCGUCGCCCCCCACAAUUCUCCGUAAAGGGAACAUGUGUUUUGGGGGCGGAUAUUGGUCUCCCGUGCUCAUGGCGUGGUUGGCCGAAAUAGGAGUCCUUUCGAUGGACGCACGAACUAGUGGUGGUCGUAAAAACCCUCGUCUUUUGUUUCGUGCUGUUGGUCGCAAGGUAAACUCUUUAAAAACCCCAAUGUGUCGUCUCUUGACGACGCUUCGACCGCGACCCCAGGUCAGGCGGGACUACCCGCUGAGUUUAAGCAUAUCCAUAAGCGGAGGA